GCCGGGGUGGUGAAAUUGGCAGACACGCAUGGUUCAGGUCCAUGUGCGGGCAACCGCGUGGAGGUUCAAGUCCUCUCUCCGGCACCA
Molecule: transfer RNA, 87 nt
Filed under: Candidatus Hydrogenedentota bacterium
Lineage: Bacteria; Pseudomonadati; Candidatus Hydrogenedentota
Description: tRNA-Leu
Rfam family: tRNA
About the family: Transfer RNA (tRNA) molecules are approximately 80 nucleotides in length. Their secondary structure includes four short double-helical elements and three loops (D, anti-codon, and T loops).
Source: RNAcentral